AUUGAACGCUGGCGGCAGGCUUAACACAUGCAAGUCGAGCGGGGGAAGGUAGCUUGCUACCGGACCUAGCGGCGGACGGGUGAGUAAUGCUUAGGAAUCUGCCUAUUAGUGGGGGACAACAUCUCGAAAGGGAUGCUAAUACCGCAUACGUCCUACGGGAGAAAGCAGGGGAUCUUCGGACCUUGCGCUAAUAGAUGAGCCUAAGUCGGAUUAGCUAGUUGGUGGGGUAAAGGCCUACCAAGGCGACGAUAUGUAGCGGGUCUGAGAGGAUGAUCCGCCACACUGGGACUGAGACACGGCCCAGACUCCUACGGGAGGCAGCAGUGGGGAAUAUUGGACAAUGGGGGGAACCCUGAUCCAGCCAUGCCGCGUGUGUGAAGAAGGCCUUAUGGUUGUAAAGCACUUUAAGCGAGGAGGAGGCUACUCUAGUUAAUACCUAGGGAUAGUGGACGUUACACGCAGAAUAAGCACCGGCUAACUCUGUGCCAGCAGCCGCAGUAA
This 501-nucleotide ribosomal RNA is filed under the name uncultured bacterium. RNAcentral describes it as "partial 16S ribosomal RNA". It matches the Rfam family "Bacterial small subunit ribosomal RNA", at positions 30 to 523 of the family's 1533-position model. The record is from RNAcentral.